UGGGGAAUAUUGCACAAUGGGCGCAAGCCUGAUGCAGCCAUGCCGCGUGUAUGAAGAAGGCCUUCGGGUUGUAAAGUACUUUCAGUCGGGAGGAAGGUGUCAAGGUUAAUAACCUUGGCAAUUGACGUUACCGACAGAAGAAGCACCGGCUAACUCCGUGCCAGCAGCCGCGGUAAUACGGAGGGUGCAAGCGUUAAUCGGAAUUACUGGGCGUAAAGCGCACGCAGGCGGUUGAUUGAGUCAGAUGUGAAAUCCCCGGGCUUAACCCGGGAAUUGGAACUGAUACUGGUCAACUAGAGACUUGUAGAGGGGGGUAGAAUUCCAUGUGUAGCGGUGAAAUGCGUAGAGAUGUGGAGGAAUACCGGUGGCGAAGGCGGCCCCCUGGACAAAGACUGACGCUCAGGUGCGAAAGGGUGGGGAGCAAACAGG
RNAcentral lists this ribosomal RNA (429 nucleotides) under Chloroflexota bacterium. RNAcentral's name for it is "Chloroflexi bacterium partial 16S ribosomal RNA". It matches the Rfam family "Bacterial small subunit ribosomal RNA", at positions 355 to 776 of the family's 1533-position model. Lineage: Bacteria; Bacillati; Chloroflexota. The record is from RNAcentral.